GGGCGAUUAGCUCAGCUGGCUAGAGCGCUGCCUUCACACGGCAGAGGUCGAGGGUUCGAGUCCCCCAUCGCCCACCA
This 77-nucleotide transfer RNA is filed under the name Acidimicrobiaceae bacterium. Its description in RNAcentral is "tRNA-Val". It matches the Rfam family "tRNA". Rfam says of the family: Transfer RNA (tRNA) molecules are approximately 80 nucleotides in length. Their secondary structure includes four short double-helical elements and three loops (D, anti-codon, and T loops). Lineage: Bacteria; Bacillati; Actinomycetota; Acidimicrobiia; Acidimicrobiales; Acidimicrobiaceae. The record is from RNAcentral. RNAcentral also lists the same sequence under 2 other names.